AGGACACGCUGGCGGCGUGCCUAAUACAUGCAAGUCGAGCGGGGAUUAUGCUUGAUCGCUUCGGUGAGACGGCAUAUAUCCUAGCGGCGACGGGUGAGUAACGCGUGGGCAACCUACCCAAAGUCCGGGAUAACAGUGGGAAAACCGCUGCUAAUACCGGAUGGCUUUACCUGAGGGCAUCCUUGGGUAAAGAAAGGUUACGCUUUGGGAUGGGCCCGCGUCCCAUUAGCUAGUUGGUGAGGUAACGGCUCACCAAGGCGACGAUGGGUAGCCGGCCUGAGAGGGUGAACGGCCACACUGGGACUGAGACACGGCCCAGACUCCUACGGGAGGCAGCAGUAGGGAAUAUUGCGCAAUGGGCGGAAGCCUGACGCAGCGACGCCGCGUGAGCGAAGAAGGCCUUCGGGUCGUAAAGCUCUGUCCUUGGGGAAGAAGGCGAAAGCUUGACGGUACCCAAGAAGAAAGCCCCGGCUAACUACGUG
This 482-nucleotide ribosomal RNA is filed under the name uncultured bacterium. RNAcentral's name for it is "bacterial SSU rRNA". It matches the Rfam family "Bacterial small subunit ribosomal RNA", at positions 33 to 507 of the family's 1533-position model. The record is from RNAcentral.